This 375-nucleotide unclassified non-coding RNA is filed under the name Hevea brasiliensis (rubber tree). Lineage: Eukaryota; Viridiplantae; Streptophyta; Magnoliopsida; Malpighiales; Euphorbiaceae. The record is from RNAcentral.
UUAUCCGGGCUUGGGACCGGCUACUUCCAAGACACUCACGUGUGAAAUAAAUAGUUAAGUCCAUAGAAUCUGUCCUUGGGUAUUGAUACAUUAGGCCCAAUCAAUAAGGGUCCUAAGAUGGAACCUUUCCUCACAAAUAAAAGGCAUAUUUACCCUUUGUUGUCUUUGCUUUUCCAAAAGACAACAAAGGGGCUUAAGUUUUAGCCCAAAUCAAUCCUAUAUUCCUUUCAAACUUGCAUAUCUAGAACAUAGGUUCAUAAACCAACAUAUCACAUGCAAUAAGGGUCCUAGGGCCACAUGUUUCUAAAGCUAGCAUGACUGAAUCCAUUCUUAUAUCUUCGUCUCGAGUCAAAAAGUUCUCCCAUUGAUCUUAAG